CUUGGUCAUUUAGAGGAAGUAAAAGUCGUAACAAGGUUUCCGUAGGUGAACCUGCGGAAGGAUCAUUAUUGAAUUAUUAGGCGAGGGUUGUCGCUGGCCUCUCGGGGCAUGUACACGCCCGAGCCAUCCCCAACAAACACCGUGGGCCUUCGGGCCCGCGUAUAUUUACUCUGAAUGUCUAUAGAAUGUAAACCAUUUCGUUCGUCCUGAAAAAGCGAACGAAAAAAAAGUACAACUUUCAACAACGGAUCUCUUGGCUCUCGCAUCGAUGAAGAACGCAGCGAAAUGCGAUAAGUAAUGUGAAUUGCAGAUUUUCAGUGAAUCAUCGAAUCUUUGAACGCACCUUGCGCCCCUUGGUAUUCCGAGGGGCAUGCCUGUUUGAGUGUCAUUAAAUCCUCAACCGCGCCGAUCGAUUUCGGUGGGGCUUGGACUUUGGAGCGUGCUGGCGAAGGUCGGCUCCUCUUUAAAUGCAUCAGCGGAAGAAACCUUUGUCUUUCCCGCCUUCGGUGUGAUAAUUGCGUUGCGCUGUGGUGGAACUUCAACGAUCCGCUUACAAUGGUCUUCGGACGAAACCUCAUGUCAUCUUGACCUCAAAUCAGGUAGGACUACCCGCUGAACUUAAGCAUAUCAAUAAGCGGAGGAAAAGAAACUAACAAGGAUUCCCCUAGUAACUGCGAGUGAAGCGGGACAAGCUCAAAUUUAAAAUCUGUCAGCCUUUGGCUGUCCGAGUUGUAAUCUAGAGAAGUGUAAUCCGCGCUGGACCGUGUGCAAGUCUCCUGGAAUGGAGCGUCAUAGAGGGUGAGAAUCCCGUCUUUGACACGGACUGCCAGGGCUUUGUGAUGCGCUCUCAAAGAGUCGAGUUGUUUGGGAAUGCAGCUCAAAAUGGGUGGUAAAUUCCAUCUAAAGCUAAAUAUUGGCGAGAGACCGAUAGCGAACAAGUACCGUGAGGGAAAGAUGAAAAGAACUUUGGAAAGAGAGUUAAACAGUACGUGAAAUUGCUGAAAGGGAAACGCUUGAAGUCAGUCGCGUUAUCCAGGGAUCAACCUUGCUUUUGCUUGGUGUACUUUCUGGUUAAUGGGUCAGCAUCAAUUUUGACUAUUGGAAAAAGAUCAGGGGAAUGUGGCAUCUUCGGAUGUGUUAUAGCCUUUGGCUGCAUACAAUGGUUGGGAUUGAGGAACUCAGCACGCCGCAAGGCCGGGGUUAAAAAGUUUUUUUUAACCACGUACGUGCUCAGGAUGCUGGCAUAAUGGCUUUAAUCGACCCGUCUUGAAACACGGACC
Molecule: ribosomal RNA, 1280 nt
Filed under: uncultured fungus
Lineage: Eukaryota; Fungi
Description: eukaryotic LSU rRNA
Rfam family: Eukaryotic large subunit ribosomal RNA (bases 586-1280)
Source: RNAcentral